CUGGAGGGGGCGCUGCUGGAUGACCAGCCCCAUUGGUACAAACUGCAGCUGCCCCACAGCUCCCCGUGUGCCUCACGAAGGGUACUGCAGCAGCGCCGCUCUCUGCCUCGUGCUGACCUGGACUACUGCGAUGAGGGGAUCGGAGCCAUCACAGACACCUUGUCCAGAUGUAAUGGACCGGACUACGGGUCCUCAAUGUCGGUUCCAGACCAAGUUCUGAUCCGGGCCCGGCCCCACUCUCCCCAGCCCUCCCUUCACAGUUCUCAGACCCUGUACCCCAUGAUGAGGGAGGACGCUGUUCGGCUGCUGCAGGGGCCCAGACUCAGCCGUACACAGUCUGACGCCGCGCACUACGCACCCGACAGGUAUUAACCAAUCACAGACCUCCCUACCUAUCAG
RNAcentral lists this long non-coding RNA (399 nucleotides) under Neogobius melanostomus (round goby). Its description in RNAcentral is "lncRNA (ENSNMLG00000018916.1)". Lineage: Eukaryota; Metazoa; Chordata; Actinopteri; Gobiiformes; Gobiidae. The record is from RNAcentral.